Ziziphus jujuba (common jujube) is the source of this 2420-nucleotide RNA transcript. RefSeq lists it as uncharacterized. The record is from RefSeq and is a predicted model, not a curated record. The transcript is spliced from 15 exons. NCBI's taxonomy places the organism in Eukaryota, Viridiplantae, Streptophyta, Magnoliopsida, Rosales, Rhamnaceae.
CCAAAUCUCAAUUGUAAAGAAAAAGCUCGGCAGCCACUAAGAGAGCCUUUGCCCUAGAAAACGGAACGAGAACGCUCAAAACACAAACACAAACCUUAGUUGCGUACUUUGGAGCUGAGCUUAAACCCUAUUCAUCAUCAUCUUCCACCUUCUGAGCUUUACAUUCACGACCACUCUUUUUACCCCCCUUCCGUCGUCAAUUUUCGCUGCUCUUUUUGCGUUUUUCAAUCUGAUAAGCAAUAAAGUUUUUAAGUUUGUGAAGCCGUUUGGUACAUUGUCUUGUGCAAAUUUGGAAUGGAUUUCGAUGAGUAUGAUUAUUUAGAGAAGACAGUUGAAAACCCUGAACCACUCCAGAAAGCUAAGGAAACUGCUAAUGGUAGUGAUGAAGUUGUAAAAUCUUCUGGAGAGAAAGAUCGUAGUAGGAGUUCAAAACAUAAAAAUGAUGCAAAGGAUAAUGAGGGAGAGCAUCGCCCAAAGCGUUCAAAAAUUGAUGAGCUGCGCGAACAUAAUAGGCGUAGAGAAAGUGGCUCAUCUCGGCACCGCUCACAGUCCAGAGAUGGAGAAAGGGAACGGCACAAGAGUAGCCGGGAGCAUAGAGAUAGGGAGGACAGGGAGAAAGAUAGGGAGGAGAGAAAUGGGAGGGAUAGAGAUAAAGAGAAGGAUCGUGAUCGAGACAGAGAAAGAGACAGGGAAAGGAGAGAACGUGAUCGCGAAGGUGACAAGGAAAGGGAAAAGGAAAAGGACAGGGAGAUGGAGAGAGAUAGGUCUCGCCGAAGCUUGAGUCAUUCGGAAAGACAUCGAAGUGACCGAGAAGAAAGAGAGAGGAGUCGGGACAGAGAUAGAGAAAGAGAUAAAGAGAAGGAAUUGAGGGAACGGGACAAAGAAAGCAGACGGCAUAAAGAGAAAAAAGAUGAAGCGACAGAACCAGAGGCUGACCCAGAACGGGAUCAGAGGACAGUAUUUGCUUAUCAGAUUUGUCUUAAAGCUGAUGAAAGAGAUGUCUAUGAGUUCUUCUCGAGGGCGGGCAAGGUUCGAGAUGUGCGCCUCAUCAUGGACCGUAAUUCAAGACGUUCUAAGGGAGUUGGGUAUAUCGAGUUCUAUGAUGCAAUGUCAGUACCUAUGGCAAUUGCACUCUCUGGUCAGCCUCUUCUUGGUCAACCAGUAAUGGUGAAGCCAUCAGAAGCUGAAAAGAAUCUCGUUCAAUCAACUACUGCAGUGGCUGCUGGAACAAGUGGGCUUAUAGGCCCAUAUUCUGGUGGUGCUAGGAGACUUUAUGUUGGCAAUCUGCAUUCCAAUAUAAAAGAAGAAGAUCUACGCCAGGUAUUUGGAGCAUUUGGUCCUGUGGAACUGGUGCAAUUGCCUCUUGAUGAAGCUGGGCAGUGUAAAGGUUUUGGAUUUGUUCAGUUUUCACGUCUUGAAGAUGCACGAAAUGCAUUGAGUUUGAAUGGGCAGUUGGAGAUUGGAGGUCGAACAAUUAAGGUGUCGGCAGUUACUGAUCAAGCAGGAAUGCAAGAUCUUGGAGUCAAUACUGGUGAUUUUGAUGAUGAUGAUGGAGGUGGCUUGUCGCUGAAUGCACGAUCUCGAGCACUACUCAUGCAGAAAUUGGAUCGUAGUGGCACCUCAUCGAGCAUUGCUGGUUCCCUUGGAACUCCUGUUAGUAGCACUGGACUCGCUCUAUCAACAGCACCGAUUCUGGGAGCUGCACCAGUGAUUUCUCCCCUUGUUGCUCCCCUAGCCCCUGUUCCUCCUGUUUUUGCUGGACUUGGUGGUGCAGGUCUUCAAGUUCCAACUGCCAGUGUUCCUUCUAUAGAUACAAUUGGUGUUCCAAGUGAAUGUUUGCUAUUAAAAAAUAUGUUUGAUCCAGCACUUGAGACGGAACCAAACUUUGAUUUGGAUAUCAAAGAAGAUGUUCAGGACGAAUGUUCAAAGUUUGGAAAUCUGAAACAUAUAUAUGUAGACAAGAAUAGUGUAGGUUUUGUAUAUCUCCGGUUUGAAAAUACACAAGCUUCAAUGGCUGCACAACGUGCUCUCCAUGGAAGGUGGUUUGCUGGGAAGAUGAUCACUGCAACUUACAUGUUACCCCAAAAUUACGAAGCUCAAUUCCCUGACAGCAGAUAGAGAUUGAGAUUUUGCAUGUGCAAUAUUAGUCCAAAAGAUGGUCCAUAUGUGAGUAUGCAGGUACAAAUGCAAAUGGAAAAUGAUCGUCGUGAAAGUUAGUCAUAGGAGCAGAGCAGGUGCAUUUGUUAUUUUUGGGGCCAUGAGAAUUUAGAUAUCAUCUUUUGUAAACUAAUUGCUGUCGAGAUUUUGAAAAUGUCAAGAGGCGACUUUAAACAUAUUUUUGUGGUUUAAAAUGAUGAUAUUUGGGUACCAUUGCGAGUAAUGUUUAAAAAACCAAAUUAUUCAGCUUUUUAUUUUCAAAA